RNAcentral lists this ribosomal RNA (466 nucleotides) under uncultured bacterium. Its description in RNAcentral is "partial 16S ribosomal RNA". It matches the Rfam family "Bacterial small subunit ribosomal RNA", at positions 28 to 507 of the family's 1533-position model. The record is from RNAcentral.
GAUGAACGCUGGCGGCGUGCUUAACACAUGCAAGUCGAACGAUGAAGCUCAGCUUGCUUGGUGGAUUAGUGGCGAACGGGUGAGUAACACGUGAGUAACCUGCCCUUAACUCUGGGAUAAGCCUGGGAAACUAGGUCUAAUACCGGAUAGGAGCUCCUACCGCAUGGUGGGUGUUGGAAAGAUUUAUCGGUUUUGGAUGGACUCGCGGCCUAUCAGCUUGUUGGUGAGGUAAUGGCUCACCAAGGCGACGACGGGUAGCCGGCCUGAGAGGGUGACCGGCCACACUGGGACUGAGACACGGCCCAGACUCCUACGGGAGGCAGCAGUGGGGAAUAUUGCACAAUGGGCGAAAGCCUGAUGCAGCGACGCCGCGUGAGGGAUGACGGCCUUCGGGUUGUAAACCUCUUUCAGUAGGGAAGAAGCGAAAGUGACGGUACCUGCAGAAGAAGCACCGGCUAACUACGUG